CGAAGCAACGCGAAGAACCUUACCUAAGCUUGACAUCCCAAUGACAUCUCCUUAAUCGGAGAGUUCCCUUCGGGGACAUUGGUGACAGGUGGUGCAUGGUUGUCGUCAGCUCGUGUCGUGAGAUGUUGGGUUAAGUCCCGCAACGAGCGCAACCCUUGUCUUUAGUUGCCAUCAUUAAGUUGGGCACUCUAGAGAGACUGCCAGGGAUAACCUGGAGGAAGGUGGGGAUGACGUCAAAUCAUCAUGCCCCUUAUGCUUAGGGCUACACAAGUGCUACAAUGGGUAGUACAGAGGGUUGCCAAGCCGUAAGGUUGAGCUAAUCCCUUAAAGCUACUCUCAGUUUGGAUUGUAAGCUGAAACUCGCCUACAUGAAGCUGGAGUUACUAGUAAUCGCAGAUCAGAAUGCUGCGGUGAAUGCGUUCCCGGGUCUUGUACACACCGCCAGUCACACCACGGGAGUUGGGGACGCCCGAAGCCGAUUAUCUAACCUGUUGGAAGAAGUCGUCGAAGGUGGAAUCAAUAACUGGGGUGAAGUCGUAACAAGGUAGCCGUAUCGGAAGGUGCGGCUGGAUCACCUCCUUUCUAAGGA
RNAcentral lists this ribosomal RNA (589 nucleotides) under Clostridioides difficile. RNAcentral describes it as "bacterial SSU rRNA". It matches the Rfam family "Bacterial small subunit ribosomal RNA", at positions 952 to 1533 of the family's 1533-position model. Lineage: Bacteria; Bacillati; Bacillota; Clostridia; Peptostreptococcales; Peptostreptococcaceae. The record is from RNAcentral.